UGAUGUGAUCAUACAAGCACUAACGAACCUAAUUCCAUUAGAACUUUGAAGUUAAGCGUGCUUGAGUAAGAGCAGUGUUAGGAUUGGCUGAUCCUCUAGGAGGUCCUUGUGUUGCAUCUC
RNAcentral lists this ribosomal RNA (120 nucleotides) under Capsicum annuum. Lineage: Eukaryota; Viridiplantae; Streptophyta; Magnoliopsida; Solanales; Solanaceae. The record is from RNAcentral.